GACGAACGCUGGCGGCGUGCUUAACACAUGCAAGUCGAACGGAAAGGCCCGGCUUUUGUUGGGUUCUCGAGUGGCGAACGGGUGAGUGACACGUGAGUAACCUGCCCUUGUCUUUGGGAGAACUUCAGGAAACUCAGGCUCAUACCGGAUAGGAUCUCCUGCAGCGUGGUGGGGGUUGGAAAGUUUCGGCCGUUGGGGAUGGACUCGCGGCUUAUGAGCUUGUUGGUGUGGUAGUCGCGUACCAAGGCUUCGACGGGUAGCCGGCAUGAGAGGGUGAACGGGCACCAUGGGCCUGCGAUACGGCGCAGAAGGCAACCGGAGGCAGCAGGGGAAAAUAUUGCACAGCGGGCGGAAGCGUGAGACAGAGGCGUCGGGAGCGUGAUGACCGCCUUCGGGUUGUGAACCGCUGUCGAAUGUGACGAAGAGGGAGUGACGGUAACGGGUCAAGAAGCACCGGCUAACUACGUG
This 468-nucleotide ribosomal RNA is filed under the name uncultured bacterium. RNAcentral describes it as "partial 16S ribosomal RNA". It matches the Rfam family "Bacterial small subunit ribosomal RNA", at positions 28 to 507 of the family's 1533-position model. The record is from RNAcentral.